Molecule: long non-coding RNA, 21885 nt
Filed under: Vitis vinifera (wine grape)
Lineage: Eukaryota; Viridiplantae; Streptophyta; Magnoliopsida; Vitales; Vitaceae
Description: long non-coding RNA (VVIN_LNC004494)
Source: RNAcentral
GGACAAAAUUCUAAAAUCUCCAAGUAUCAUCUUUAAAAAAAACUAAUACAUCAAUCAAAGUGAUAUUGUCCAAAUAGCUCUAAACUCAAAAAAAUUCAAACAAGAAUUAAGUUUUAACAUCUAAACAAUAUCCAAAAUAAAUAGAGUUUAAACAAAUAUCGUAAUAAAGCCAAAUUUCCCUCCUAGCUGUCACCCCUCGCCCGAACUGAGGUUACCUAAAAGAUUAUCAACAAAGGGGGAUGAACUUAAAGCCCAAUAAGGAACAUUAAUAUAGUUUCAUGGAUAAAACAUUUUUACUCAUGCUUGCAAAUGGGAGUAUUUCAAAUAUAAUCACGCACCCUCAUACAUCCCAUGAACCUUUGCAUAUCAAUAGAAGAUAGUAAAUGACUUAUCAUUUAAACAAGCCUAUUUGUAGUAAUAUGUGUAUAAAAAAUACAUUAAUUAUUUAAGAAACUUCUAUGGUACUGAAAAAGUACAAUACAAAAUAUUCACUAUUAGUCAUUUGAUUUUGAGAUUGAAUCUCCACCAUUCAAUUAAAAGAUUUGGAAAUAUUUUAAAAAAUAAAGAUAAUAAUGAAGAAUUGAUAAGUAAGUAAAACAAAUCUAUAAAUGCAAAUAAAAAGAGUUUUAUUGAUAGACAUACAAUGAAGAACCUUAAUGUUUCUCCUUUCUGUUAUGCUUUUUUGUUAUAAUAAUAAUGAUGAUGAUAAUAAUAAAUAUAAAUAUAAAAGUACUUUUUUCAAUCGAUUUAUUUUUUGUGAAGGUACCAUGCAUGUAUCAUUACUCAAGUCUAAAGUUUGACAUGUUUAGUUAAUGAAAAUAUAUGAUACACAUAGUGGAAGCACUUCCAAAGGUGACCACAUUGCUUAAACAUGCAUGUUAGUUCAACAUUCAUUAUAUUGCAAAUGGUGACAUAUGUUUCAUACACAAAAGCACUCGUUUUACUCAAAUUUGUUAGAAUUAGUAAAAAUUUGACUACAAUAUAAAUAAUGUUACAAAGAUAUAAAAAUUAUGACAAAUAUAAAUAAAACAACAACACAAUGUGAAUACAGUAGUAACCAUAAAAAUUGUGACAAUUGUACCAAAAACUAAUUAGAGUACAAAAAAUAUGAUCAAGUAUAAAAAAUGUAAUAAGGAUAUAAAAAUUUUAAUUGAGGUACUAAAAUAAGAAAAAUGUGAUCACCUCAAUACAAAUAAUGUAAUCUAGGUACCAAAAAUAGGGCCCAUGCACUAAGGUACGAAUGUGAUCUAAGUACAAGUUAUUUAACCAAGUUCCAAAAAUUUUAACUAAGGUACAAAAUCUAUAAUUAAGAUGUUAAGGCACAAAAGACAUAACCUAAGUACAAAGAAUAUAAAUAGUGUAUAGACAGUGUGACUUAGUUUUAAUUAAUUAUUUAUGUAUAAUUGUAGGCCCUCCAUUUUGUCCUCUUAGCACAUGUAACAUCAAAUGUUCCUCCUAUUCCCCUCUUGGUCCCUAGUCAUCCCUUGGUGGUCUAUUGACAUUCAUUCGACUUACUCUUUCCUAGCUAUCUUUGGAGACCUUGGUUGAAGGAUUUGUUUGCUCCUUCUUUGUGACCCUUGGCAACCUCAAGUUAGAUAUAGGAUUUUCCUUUUUUCUUUGUAGGAUAGCUCAUUUAGAUACACUUUUUAGAUCACGUAGACACCUUUUGAGAAUAUGAACACUUUUAUUUUCAAACAAAAAUUGCAUGAGUUUGAUGAAAUUAAUUCUUUUUAAUUUGCGUGAAACAAUAUGUUGUUUUUUGUAAUAUGCAUGUGAUUGAUAUUUUAGUUUUAGUUACAUAAUUUUAUUAUUAUUAUUAUUAUUUUCAAUUAUAGGUUUUUUUAUUCUACUUCUUUUUAAGUUUCUCAAAAUUUGUUCUUUUAUUAAUGAAUGUUAUUGGUCUCCAACCAAUUGGAGUUAAAUCCGUCUAAGUUAACAAGGGUUAGACAACCUUCUUCCUUAUGUUAUGCUUCUUAGAGCUCCUGCCUAGUAAUGGGGAGACUGGGUGAGCUUCUUUCCUGCAUAAUGGAUGUUUGGAUAGGUGGUCUAAGCAUGCCCCUUUGAAACUUAAGUUAAGCAAAAAUAGACUAGACUCCUCAAAGGAGGGAGUGAGUAGGUCAGCUGAUGUGUGCCUACCUUGUUUGUGCCUCAGAAAGGUUUUUAUAGUGCUGAAAGAAAGCCACUAUAGUGUUGACUAAGCACUUUAACCUUCUCUGUAAUGAUGAUCGUCUUGUGGGUGGCAAGGCAAUCAUUACAUCUUUGGGCAGCUGGCAGGUGCCGUAAGAUGAUAUGGCAGGUGCAUAUCCCUUCAACCUGCUGGUGGUAUAGAGUUGUGUGUGGUAAUUAAUUGACAUGGACUGGAGGGUUGGGGGAGAUCUCAUCAACCAUUCCCAUGUCAGACAUGAAUGAUUACACAUAAUAGUGGGCCUUGAAGGCGUGAUUGGGUGGUUCCGUCUGUUUAGGGAGUCCAGUCUUACUUUCCAUCUGUUCUCGUAUGGGAAGGACCCAUUUUUGUCUGUGACCAAAUAAAUUGGACGUAGUCCGGAUGGAAGAAUUCGAACGCUGCUUGUCCCACUAUCUGGAUAGUGCUGGGAUUGGACAGUGACACGUGGAAUGACACAUGGAGGGAAACUCCUACAAUGCCCCCAUUUUACUCCGUUUACCUAUGUUCGAGUAGAGGUGGACGGGUUAUGUGUCUCUUCAAAUCACCCAAGUACUUUUUCAACACGUGUUACUUGGGAAAUUAAAUAUGGGUCAUUUUCACCGAGGCCAUCUAUCAAGUGGCGCAUUGAUUUGAGGUGCAUUUCCAAGUAGUUUGUUUUUUGGGAUCCUUAAGGUUUCGAUAUCCUAUAAAUAGGGGAUUCCAAAACUUUUUAGGUUACUUUUUGAACAUUCCUUUUUUGGAACAUUUUCUUUCCAGUCUCUGCACAUUCAUUGUUGUUAUGCCAGUCAUCGUUCUUUCUCCGUUGUGUUGUUGCUAUUUCCAAGCCUUCUACAGGCAGACUCUUCCUUUGCUUGGGGUCAUUCUUGUUGGCUUUGGUGAGCUUGCUUCUCUUUGCAUUCAUUUUUUUUUUUUCUGUUUCUUUGUUUGCUGUUAGGACUGCUUUAGGAUUUGUGAGUUUUCUUGGAUGCAAAGUGAACGUUAUGAAGUCCAAACUGUAAGGCUUUUGUGCUCUAUUGGGGAAAGUAACUGCCAUUGAGGGGAGAAGGUUGGUAGAAUCUGUUAUGUUUAGGGUUUUUCACAUUUGCCUUUUCUGUUUCUUUUCUGUUGGUGCCCUAAGUAGUCUCCUUAGGCAUUUUGGCCUGUAGUAGUUGUGGUGGCAUAAUGGGAAAGUCCUUUCUUGGGGUUAGGGCUUGCUCUCCAAGUUGGGUUAGGCAUCCUGCUUAAGUGUGGGCUUUAGAUUUGCUUAGGUUGCUUGUUGUACAACUAAGGCACUACCUAAUGGCAGAUGAGUCAGGUGACUGUUUUUCUAACACUUUGUGUUGUGCUGCGCAGGUUUCACGUGUCCUAGAGUUUCUCAGUUAUGUCAGUAAGAGGGGCAUUGCUUCCACCAGCACAAGUGGUAGAGGUCAGAAAAAGGGUUGAAAUGGUGUAGUUGUUGAACGUCCUUGGUUGGAAUGCCCAGUCUACCUUCUAACCGAACAAGAAUUCUAGGAUCACUUUCGCAUCUCGAACGUCAUCUCCAUACUUUUGGUAAACGACAAACCUACGCCCAUUGAGAAGUUGUCUCAUAAUGCUACCUACUUUAGCAAGGAGCAGUUCAAUGUAGGGCUUCGUUUCCCUCUGCCUUCUUUGCUCAAGCAGUUUUUCCAUUUCACCAAGAUCCCUCCAGCAUUUCUUCACCCAAAUGUUGUCCGAGUGCUAAUGGGGUGUAGCGUCUUAGAUAUGCUCUACCACCUGGAUCUCUCCUUGCUGGAGAUCGUCUUCGUCUAUACAAUUAAGAUGAGCCAGAAAGAGAGGUUCAACUUGUCCGCCCAUAUCUCCAGUUAGUGAUAGGGCUUCCAGAUUAGAACAAGGGCGGGGCAAAGGCCACAUCCUUGUUUAUGGUCCCUGGGGUGAUCUAUAUGAGAGUUCGAACAGGGAAUUCCAUUUGUGAUGCUCAUUGUAGAUUUUGAGUAGGAGAUGCUCUUACGACUUUUGUUCGUCCUUUAUAGCGUGUUAGAUGUGAACUCAUUGUUGAUGUUUCUUGUUUAUACGGUGUAGAGAAGGACAAGAGGGGUCAACUCAUGGAAUGAGUGGAGAAGGCUUCUUUUGACCGACUCAACAAGCUUUUUGAGAUAUUUAUAGCUGGGUCGAACCACUAAGUUCUUUUGACGGAUAGGAACCUGCUAGCGAUGGUCAAGAAGUCCAAGUCGUUCAUCAUCCCCAUACUUCCUUGUUUGGCUCCUCAGGCCUUGGUGCCCGACGAGCACCACGUGCUGAAGGAUCUCUCUUGUUAUGAGGUUGGUCAUGCGGUGGACUCAAAAGCACGCCAGGACCUCUUGGAGCAAAGGAAAAAAAAAUUCACAGGAAGGGAAGCUAAGGCAAGCUCCAGCCACAAGCCGCCCAACAUCUAAUUCUGUCGUUCGCCUUCCUACUAAGAAAUAGGGCCCUGUCAUUCAACCUAUUCAAAGGCCUCCAAAUCCGCCACGCGCAUCUCCUGCUCAUUCUGCUUCAACUUCUGCAUCCUCGUAUUCUGUCGCCGGCACUGAGCCAGAGGCAAAGGUCAAGCCAGUAGUGUCUCCUAUCAUCUAUGAAGAGGAGGAAUAGGAGGACAUGGAUGCAAACCUGAGAGCCAGAUUCAGGGAGAGGUAGCGCAAACGCUUGUUCGAAUCCAUCAUGGUCGUUCAUCCUGCUAAAAAGUCCUGUAUGGAGGUCCGCUGCCCGAAAUUGGUCUUUGCCAUUGCAUCGACACCAGAGCCUUCAGCCGUCGCUGUAGGUAGUAACCCUACGCUAGACAAAAAGCCUUUCUCAACUGGAGCAACCGCUCAACCUGAGCUAGGGGGCCUUCCAUUGGUCUGACGCAACUCAGCAACAACUCUGUUGAGUGUGUUGCUUCCGCUCCCCACAUUCUCAAGCGCCUCAUGCUCCCAACUGGGAUGAGAUAAUUGAAUUGAUGAAACAAAUUUCCUACUUUACAAAGAGGGAGACCCUUAUGAACAACAUAGGGGACCUCUUUCCGGCCACCCCGUGGGUUUCAAUAGACCUAGAUGGCAAUCCCAACAUUUCCUUUGUGGCCCGACUUCCAUUCGACAACCCAAAAUCCGUCACCUCCCGUAUUUUUCCUAUGCAAGAUUACACAACCAUCGAGACAACGAAAGUGGUAAGCCUCUCAUCUCUUUUGUUCAUAAUGCCUUAGUCUUUUGAUUUUUUUAAUAUCUUCAUUGUUGUCAUCUCAAAUAGUAGCCGACGUUUGUAAUUUGAUGCGACAACGUGUUCUACUCUUUAAACGGUUGAAGGUUGUCGAGACUAUGAGAGUGUAUAUUGCCCAUAACAUGGACGAUAGUGAAGAACUCCGCUCUAAGCUGAAAUCAGUAGGGGACGAGCUUGCUAUUGCUCGGAAGGUUGCUAAGAAGGGAGUCGGGUUGCUAAGAAAGUCAAAAGAAGAGAGAAAGACGACCGAAGCUGAGGCCCAUUGGUUGAAAGGGGGAGACGGAGGCUAAGCGUACGUAAGAAGGCUGAACAAUAGAAUGAAUGGCUGAGGCAGAAGAUGGAAGAGCUUCGGGUAGGGUUCAUUGCUAAAAAGGAAGGGUUGGAGGGCAAGUACCAAAAGUAGGUAGAUCACAUGUUUUUGUUCAGCUACCGGUGCUGCAUGAAGAAACAAGGCAUACUUAGGACACCCUUAAUUACACUUUAGGUGAUGGGGAUGUAGCAAUCGACGACCCUACCCGAGGAAAUGGAGAUGUUGCUAAAGUUGACCCCUCUAGUGGGUAGACAUGGUCUUUAUUCCUGUAUAUUUUUUGUUUUUUUUUCCUAGCUGGAAAUGGCCCCACAGGAAGUUGUAAUGAAUGCUCAUAUAUUUUUCUAAAUACAAAAAUACUUGUUUUUUUUUUUCUCUAUUCCAUAUACAUUUUACUUUUCAUAAGCCAAUUUUACUGAUAAUACUGCUUCAAGUUGGACACAUUCCACGAGCAGAGUAAGGGUACUUCGUCCAGUGUUUGGAGAUGGUAUGCCCUUGAGUCUUCGACCUUGGUCAUAAAGUAGGGGCAUGUCCAAUUAGCCUGAAGGUUUUCAGCCCCCACCUCCGCCAUGUUCUCAAAGACUUUUAUGAGGACAAAGGAUCCGGUGCAAAAAAUACGUGGUCAGCCCUUUUUAUUAUAGUGAGUGAAAACUUGCUAUUGAUAGGAGGCUAUUCGGAUGGUCCUGCUUCCCCUUACCUCAUCUACCCAAUCUAGUUGCCUCACAAUUUCUUAAGUGUCAUAUCUUUGACCUUGCACGACUAUUUUGGAGGUGGACAUACCAAUCUAAGUUGGAAUAACAACUUCCAUUCCAUAGGCGAGGGCGAAAGGAGUGGUCCCUAUAGGCCACCCGGGCGUUGUUCGGUAUGCCCAUAGAACCCCCAACAAUUCAUUUACCCAUUUUUCUUUGUCUCAUUCCAGCCUUUUCUUUAGUGCAGUUGGUAGGGUUUUUUUUGUUGCCUCUACUUGCCUAUUACUCUGAGGAUAGCAAAGCGUGGAAUAUAAAUUUUUAAUAUUUAUCUUUGAGUAGAAGGUUUUGAAUGCGAUGCUGUUGAAUUGCGGCCCGUUGUCUGCUAUGAUUGCUUAUAGAAUCCCGAACUGGCAAACGAUGUUCUUCCAAACAAACCUAGAGACGUCUUUGUCUUUGAUGCUAGCAUAGGCUUCUGCUUCUACCCAUUUGCUGAAGUAGUCAGUAGCUAUGAGUAGAAACUUUUUUUUCAUGGCUGCAAUAGGUAAGAGGCCAACUAUGUCCAUCCCCCAUAGCGCGAAUGACCAAGGGCUCAUUAUUAGAUUAAGAACUUCAGAUGGCAUACAGGGGAUGGGAGCGUACCACUGACACUGGUCACACUUCUUAACAUAAUUUUCAGUAUCUUGUUUCAUGGUGGACCAAUAGUAUCCUUGUGUGUGAGCACGAUAUGCUAAUGUUCGCCUGCCUAGAUGAUUGCUGCACACACCUUUGUGGAGUUCAGCUAGGACUUACUGGGUCUUUGGAUUGUUCAAACAUUUCAGGUACGAUUCUUUAAAAGAUCGCCUAUAAAGGCUGCUAUUGAUUAGAGUGAAGCGGACGGCCUGUACAUGAAUCUUAUGAGCAUGCUUCUCAUCAUUUGGUAGUUCUCCCAUUUGGAUAUAUUUCAUAAUUUCAUGCAUCCAUCCAGGGCCCAUCUCAAUAGUAUUAUAUACUGGUACUGUCGCAAUUGAGGUUGCGGCCUGGAGGUAGACAGGCAGCAUUACGACUUUCUUUAUAGCGAGAGUAGUAGCUAUUCCGGUCAAUGCAUCAACCUUUAAAUUUUAUGUCUGGAGCACUCGUCUAACUGCUUAUUCAUCUAACUUUCCUAAGCAGUCUUCUACCAGGGUGAGGUAGCGAGCCAUACAUUCGCCAUUAGCUUUAUACUCUUUCUAAAUUUGCUUGACGAUUAACUCAUAAUCGCUACAUAUUUUCAACUUGAUUAUCGAUAAAGUUAAGGCAAGGUCCAUCCCAGCCAAGAUUGCCUCGUAUUCAACUUCAUUGUUUGAAGCAGGAAAACUGAGCCGGAUAGUCUACUCUAGCAAUUCCCCGAUAGGUGACUAUAAGAUUAGGUCCACCCCGGAACAGGAGGCUUUAGAUGUUCCAUCUACGUGAAGUAUCCACAAUCCUUCCCUAAGGGGCUCAUCCAAGUAAGAUGGUUUUUGGGGAAGUUAAGAUAUAAAGUCGUCCAUAACUUGUCAUUUCAAUGCCAAUCUUAGCCAGUAUUUGAUUCCGUACUCACUUAACUCGAUGGCUUACUUCAACAUUCAUUUGGAUAAGUCCGACUUGUGCAAGAUGCUUCUGAGUGGUUGAUUUGUGAGUACGAUCACUUGGUCGGCAUGAAAGUAUGGGUGGAGUUUCCGGACGGUGCUUUUGAGGGCUAAGGUCGUUUGCUCCAUCCUGGAGUAUCGGUUUCUACAUCCACCAUAGCUUUGCUUACAUAGUAAAUGAGCCUCUAUUUUUUAUCUUUUAUGUGAUGAAAUAAAACAGCACUAACCACAUAGUUAGACAUGACCAAAUACAUGUAGAGUUGUUUACCUGACUGAGGGUUACUUGGAAUAGGUGGCUUAGUAAGGUAGUGUUUGACUCGAUCUAAUGCCCACUUGCACUCAUCUUUCCAACCAAUUGCGCUUGCCUCCAUAGUUCUGAAAGGCGCGCCUAAGGCGCGCCUAGGCUCGGGGCGGCGUGACGCCAUCCUCCGGCGCCUCGCCUGAAGAGAGGCGACGCCCCUUCACGAAGGCGCCGCUUAGGCGCGCAAGGCGCUCGCCUCCAGCAAGGCGCGAGGCGGUCGCCCGAGUCGCCUCCGACGGCCCGACCAGGUACGCACUCCUCCUUCUCCUUCUCCUUCUUCUUCUUCUUCUUCUUCUUCUUCUUCUUCUUCUUCCUCCAGUCGGGUUGCAGAGACGGGGCAGCCCUAGUUUUUUUUUCAGUUUUUUUUUUAUAUUUUAUGGGCCCAAAACGACGCCGUUUGGACACUGUGCACUUAAGUGAACAGUGACCAAAACGACAUCGUUUUGGACCCUGUUAUUCAAAACAUAAAAUCUCCUUCCAUCCAGCCCCCUUUUCUGCUGUUUUUCAAUCCGAGACCACUGCCAUUUUUUGCCCUAGCCUCUUCCGUGCUGGAGAAGUGAAGAAGAAGAAGAAAAAUAAGAAGAAAAAUAGAGGGAAAAUAGGAGAAAAAUAAAGAGGAAAUAGUCACGUACCUUCCGGACCUCGGUAUUUUUCUUUUUUCUUCACUUUUCUGCAUUUUUUUCCAUUCUUACCUCAUAACUCUCAUUGGUAUUUUUUUUUAAAAAAAUAUAAAUAUUAUAUUUUGAGUUUUUGACAUGAAAAUUUUACAAAAUAAAAAUAAAUAAAUAAAAAGCACUCAUGCAUAUUUGUUGUUAAUGUGAUAUUUGAUAAUGUGAUAUGCAUUUUUUUUUCAAUUUUUUUUCUUAAUUUAAUUAUAAUUAUUUUAUUGUGGAGUAUAGAUAAUUUGUUUGCAAGAUGGAUAAUGAGAGUGAGACUCAAGUGGACUCUAGUGCAAGUGGAAGAAGAGAUCUAGGGUGGAAAUAUGGUCGUUUGGUUAAUGAAAAAGAUUUGAACACCAUCAUAUGCAUUUUUUGUGAUAAAGUAACCAAAGGAGGCAUCUAUAGACACAAACAACAUCUUGUUGGUGGAUAUAGAAAUGCUAAAAAGUGUAGAAAAUGUCCGGAACAUGUUAGAGAAGAAAUGGAAGAGUAUAUGAGUUCCAAGAAAAAUCAAAAAGAGCAAAUGAAUAUGGGGAGCGAAUAUGUUAAUGAAGAUUUGUUUGGUUUGGAAGAUGAAGAUAUUGGUGAGGAGAUUAAUAGUAGAACGAAUAUCACCAACAUUUCUAGUGGAGGUAGUAACCGAGGAGGAAGUGGUGGUAGGACGUUUUCUUCAAAAAAAACCAAGACAAAAAGGUCCUAUAGAUCAUUUUUUCACUCCUAAUGCAGAGAUGGUUGUUCAAAAUCAAAGGAGUGGAAAGAUGAAUCAAACUACCAUCAAUGAUGCCUACAAAAAGGAAGUAAGAGAAAGAGUUUGCACGCUUAUCACAAGAUGGAUGUAUGAGGCUGCUAUUUCAUUUAAUGCAGUCACAUAUCCGAGUUUCCAACCAAUGAUUGAGGCUAUUGGCCAAUAUGGUGUGGGUAUGAAGGGACCAACUUUUCAUGAGGUAAGAGUUACUAACCUUAAGAAAGAAUUGGCUCUCACAAAAGAUUUGAUGAAAGAUCAUAUGGUGGAAUGGGGGAAAAAUGGAUGUUCAAUUAUGUCGGAUGGAUGGACCGAUAGGAAAGAGAGAACUUUGGUGAAAUUUUUGGUUAAUUGUUCAAAGGGAACCAUGUUCAUGCAAUCCAUUGAUGCUUCUUCAAUGAUUAAGACGGGAGAAAAGAUGUUUGAGUUACUUGACAAAUGGGUAGAGCAAGUUGGUGAAGAGAAUGUUAUUCAAGUUAUAACAGAUAAUCACUCAAGUUAUGUGAUGGCAGGUAAUAAAUACUAUUUCUUGAAUUUUUAUUUACUUUUAAAAUUUGAAUUAUUUAUCUUGAGAACUUAUGUAAAUUUAUUAUCUACAAUUUCAUAUACGGAGGUUGUUAGAAUUAAAGCGUCCACAUUUGUAUUGGACACCAUGUGCUGCACAUUGCCUUGACUUGAUGUUGGAGAUAUUGGAAAGCUACCAANNNNNNNNNNNNNNNNNNNNNNNNNNNNNNNNNNNNNNNNNNNNNNNNNNNNNNNNNNNNNNNNNNNNNNNNNNNNNNNNNNNNNNNNNNNNNNNNNNNNUUGAUGAAAGAUCAUAUGGUGGAAUGGGGAAAAAUGGAUGUUCACUUAUGUCGGAUGGAUGGACCGAUAGGAAAGAGAGAACUUUGGUGAACUUUUUGGUUAAAUGUCAAAGGGAACCAUGUUCAUGCAAUCCAUUGAUGCUUCUUCAAUGAUUAAGACGGGAGAAAAGAUGUUUGAGUUACUUGACAAAUGGGUAGAGCAAGUUGGUGAAGAGAAUGUUAUUCAAGUUAUAACAGAUAAUCACUCAAGUUAUGUGAUGGCAGGUAAUAAAUACUAUUUCUUGAAUUUUUAUUUUCUUUUAAAAUUUGAAUUAUCUAUCUUGAGAACUUAUGUAAAUUUAUUAUCUACAAUUUCAUAUAGGGAGGUUGUUAGAAUUAAAGCGUCCACAUUUGUAUUGGACACCAUGUGCUGCACAUUGCCUUGACUUGAUGUUGGAAGAUAUUGGAAAGCUACCAAACAUCAAGAGGACAUUGGAGGGGGCUAUAUCACUAAAUGGGUAUAUUUAUAAUCGCUCAGGGCUACUCAACAUGAUGAGGCGGUUUAUUGGACAAAGGGAAUUGCUUAGGCCUGCUAAGACUCGGUUUGCAACUGCUUUCAUCACAUUAUCGCGAUUGCAUGAACAAAAAAACAAUUUGAGGAAGAUGUUUACAAGCUCAGAUUGGUCAGAUAGUAAAUGGGCAAAAGAGUAGAAGGGGAAAACUAUAGCCAACAUAGUUCUAAUGCCUUCAUUUUGGAACACUAUUGUGUUUUGCUUAAAGGUUUCGGGUCCCCUAGUUCGUGUGCUUCGUUUGGUUGAUGGUGAAAAAAAAGCUCCUAUGGGAUACAUCUAUGAGGCCAUGAAUAGAGCUAAGGAUGCAAUUGUGAGAAGUUUUAAUGGAAAUGAAGAGAAGUACAAAGAAAUCUUCAACAUCAUUGAUAAGAGGUGGGAGAUUCAGCUUCAUCGGCCUUUGCAUGCAGCAGGGUACUUUUUGAACCCGGAAUUCUUCUAUGAUAAGCCAGAAAUAGAGCAUGAUGCCGACAUUAUGAGUGAUUUGUAUAAAUGCAUCUUAAGGCUAACAAGAGACCCUGCUAAGCAAGAAAAAGUUGUGGCCGAAGUGAGUUUGUUCACAAAUGCCCAAGGACUAUUCGGGAAUGAGUUCGCUGUUAGGACAAGAAAGACUAGAGCACCAGGUUAGUUAUUUAGUUUUGUUUAUUUAAAUGAUUAGAUUGUAUUUUUGCUAAAAUAGGUGAAUUGUUUCACUAAAUUGUUAAUAUCUAUACUACAGCUGAAUGGUGGGCUGCAUAUGGAGCUUUAACUCCAAAUUUGCAAAAGUUUGCAAUGAAAGUCCUCAACUUAACAUGCAGUGCAUCAAGUUGUGAACGGAAUUGGAGCAUCUUUGAGAAUGUGAGUGACCAAAUCCAAAAUAAUUACAAGUAAUAGUCUAAUAGAGUCUUGAAUGUAACUUAAAAGUUAAAAUUUUAAAAUAUAUUUAUGAGCUUAUGAAUUUUUGCAGAUUCAUAGCAAGAGGAGAAAUAGGUUAGAUCAUCAACGCUUGAAUGAUUUGGUGUACAUCAAGUAUAAUCGAGCCUUGAAGAGAAGAUACAAUGAACGUAACACCAUUGACCCAAUUUCCUUGAAAGAUAUAGAUGAUAGCAAUGAAUGGUUGAUAGGGAGAAUGGAAUAUGAGGAUUCUCAUGGAGGUGCACAAGAUGAUUUUGUAUUUGAUGAUGACAAUUUGACAUGGGGUGAUGUUGCUAGAGCUGCUGGAGCUGAGGAAGCCAGGUUUGAUACUAGAGCUAGAGCAAGCUCAAGCAUAAUACCACCAACAAGGGGGAUAGCUUCAAGUUCUAGAACUUUGCCUUCUUAUUCACUAAUAGAUGAAGAUGAAGAUGGAGACAUGGUUGAUUCAGCAGAUGAAGAAAAUGGGGAAGGCUACAAAUGUGGUGAUGGAAAUGAUGAUGAUGAUGAUUUUGUUGAUUUAGAGGAGGAGUGAUGAUUGCUUGUUGUGGACAAAUUUGUGAUUUAAGUGUUUUUUAAUGAUGUUUUUGAAUUGUGGACAAAUUUCAUGUUUUGGACCUUUAGGUUUGGAAACUUUGGAUUUGGAUAUGUAUUAGGCAAUUAGCAAUAUGGAUUUGGAUUUGUUUUUAUGCUUGGAGUUCUUUAUUUUUAUGUUUUUUGUUUAUUAAAUUGAAGUUUUGGAUGAUAUUUGAUGAUUUAUGUGUUUAGGACAAAUAAAUGAUUGUUAAAUUUGAUUAUAUUAUAUAAAAAUAUAUAUGUAAAUUAGGGUGCGCCUCACUUCACUAAAGCCCGCGCCUUAGAUGUGCCUUGCGCCUUAGGCUCCAGGACUACUUUGCGCCUUGGUGCGCCUUGAGCCUUUUAAAACUAUGCUUGCCUCUUAAGUAUGAGGAAGAAAUGCCUCAAUUUGUUUAUAAAAUGGGCUAUAAAACGCCCUAGUGCAGCUAGACGACCUAUAAAACAUUGCAACUCCUUUUUGCUACUUAAGGUAGGUGUCUCAAGAACGACUUUUAUUUGAUCUGGAUUAACUUCGAUUCUCUUUUAAGUUACCAUAAAUCUUAAGAAUUUUCCUAUGCUAGCACUAAAAGUGUAUUUAGUCGGGUUAAGCUUCAUGUUGUACACCCAUAUUAGUCAAAAAAUUUCUUCUGGGUGUUGGGAGUGUUCAUUUCGGGUCAUGUUUUUUACCACAAUGUCAUCUAUGUAGACCUCUAUAGUUCGACCUAUCAAGGGUUUGAAGAUUUUUAGCAUCAACCUUUAAUACAUAGCACCAACAUUUUUAAGCCUAAACGUUAUAACCCUAUAGCAAUACAACCCUUGUGGUGUCACAAGGGCCAUCUUUUCCUCAUCUGGUUGGAACAUGGGGAUCUGGUGGUACCCGAAGAAAGCAUCUAUGAAGAAGAGCAUUUCGUGCCCGGCAAUGGCAUCUACUAUUUGGUCUAUUCCGGCAAAGGAAAACUAUCCCUUGGGCAAGCAUCAUUCAAGUUGGUGUAAUUGACGUAGACUCGCCACUUCCUUCCCUUCUUUGGGAUGACCACCGCAUUUGCCAGCCAGUCUGAAUAUUCAACUUCCCUGAUAAAUCCAAUUGUCAAUAACUUGUCAACUUCGGCCUAGAUGAUCCUCUCUGCCUGUCCGAGUAGAAGCGUCGAAUCUUCUAGUGGACGAGUUGUGAGAAAGGUGUGACAUUGAGCCGGUGUGAGGCUACAAAUGGAUGGAUUCCUGGCAUGUCUGAAUGAGUUCAAGCAAAGAUGUAUUUGUUUUGUUGGAGCACGCUUUCAAGUAGUUUCAUUUCAUCCAGCAUAAGGAGAGAAUUGGCAUAGGUAACUUGGUCAAUACCGCAUGAGAAAUGCAGUGGUUGGAGUGGGUCGACUACGGAUGGAUCCUUCUCCACUAGGCUUAGUAAUUGCUACUGCCCCUCCUUAUUUGAUAGUUCUGGGUGUGGCUCAUUAUUGGUCGGAUGUCUGGAUUCAAGCACUACUUGAUAACACUGGCAUGCAGCCAAUUGACUGCCAAAAAGAUCGAUCUGCCCAUCCUCGAUGAAAUAGCUCACCAUCUAAUGAUACGUAGAAGGAAUGACCUUCAUGCUGUGAGGCCAUACACGUCUCAUGAUGGCAUUGAAAUGGGAUAAAUCCUCUACCACCGAGAAUUGCACAUUUUGGGUGAUCAGACCAGCUUGGACAAGUAAUACAGCGUCUCCUAGAAAGGCUGUCGUGGCUCCACUGAAUCCAGAUAGUACCCGCCCUGGGUUUUCUAGGGUAGAUGGUGGUGAUUACUACUCAAAAAGUGUUAUUUGAUAGCUUGAAAUUAAUCCUUUUAAACACUUUUGAGUAGUAGUUUUGGUCUUUUAACUCAAUUGGCAUGUUAAGGACCCUUGAAAGCAAUUUUAAUCACUUUGUGUAAGUUUUGGUGUUUUUGUUAGUAAUUUGAUCACCAAAGCAAUCCAAGAUUGAGGAGAGUUAUGAGGAAUCUUGGGCAAAGCUUGGAAGUCAUUUGCCAAGAGUAAAUCCGGAAUGCAAGGAGAAGAAGUAAAGAGAAUCUGCCAUGAAGCAUAUUCUUGAUGACAGUCGUGGCAGCCACUUUUGGAGCACUUUCUGAAGUCCAAUUGAUGCAUGCUAUAUACCAUUUCAAAGCUCAGGAAGUCAACAAUCCAAUGCUUCAAACGGUGCGCAAUUCGGAGUUGAAACGAAGAAGUUACAACCAUUGCAAGUCAAUCACUCCAAGCUGAAGGAAGCAUUUUGCAAAGUGUUGCGAAAUCACCCUUUUGUUGCGAAGUGAUUUCGCAGCCUUUUUGUACAGUGUAGUGGAUUUCCUCCUGAAGUUGCCCGAUAUAUGCCGCAAGCUGGAAGCUGAGAACCUCAAGGUGGAAGCCAACUUCGCAGCCCUGCGAGAAUAGCUUUUUGCUGCGAAGUGAUUUCGCAGCCCUUUUGUGUGUCUGCGAAAUCUCGCAGACAUCAUUUUCUCUUGCGAAAUGGUCCAUAGUGCUUCCCGAUAUUUGCUACCGAUAUUGGGAGAUAUUUUCCAUCAGAUUUUUGUUGUCUAAAUCCCAAAAUACUCCUUGUAAGCCACCAAUUACAAGAUUCCUUAGCUUUUAAGUUAGUAAAAAGAACAAAUAUCCAUGUAAUAAUUUAGUUUUGUUUUAGGUUCAUAUAAAUACUCUUCAAGAGCCUAUUCUCAGAAGAGGAGACCCUUUGUAAAUUUUUGGGAAAGCAAGUAAAGUUCAGGCCUUUGUUUUGCCUUACCUUCUCACUUCGUAUUUUUAUUUUCUUACUAAGUUAUGAACUCUCUGAGGAAUUUUCCCCAGAGAAUGAGUAACUAAACCUCUAGUUCCUUGGAGCUAAGGUUGCCGGGGAAGGUUCCAAGUGCAAGAAUGCAAAGCUUUGUGGUUUUAGCCAGUAAUGAAGAGGAAGUGAAGUCUUUUAGUGAUUUCUAUGUUUUUAGUUAACUUAAAACACCUUAGAGUCACCUAGGCCAACACUUGGUAAGGCAAGUGAUUUCCAACCAUGGGAAUGCACUAGUUUACUCCUUGCGAGCCUCUGGGAGGUGACUUUAGGGUAGGAUUUUCUGGAAUUGCCAACACUUGGUAAGCUUUUGGACUCCAAGGAGACAUCCAUUAGUUAUCUCUUGCGAGCUUGAGAAGGGAAGUCCAAGGUUAAAGGUCACCUUGAAUGGUUAAGGCUAAGUGAGAGGCUUAAACCAUUGCAAGUUGUAUCAGUGAGAGAAUUAAAGUUGAAAUCUAAUUAAAGGAUGUAUCUGUACAACACCGGUUAGAGAAUUGACUAUAUGUUGAAUCUCUAACGCGAGGUAAUGAACCAUCUGACCAGAGCUAUGUCUUUUGCAUGAGGAACCACCCCAGUGAACCUAACUCUCCAAGGAAUGCUUUUCUUCCUAAGUUAUUCCCAUUACUUGUUUUGUUAGUUAGUUUGAAUCUAAAUCUUUACCAAUCAAAGUUUGUGUUUUAUUUCUUAAGCUAACCUUGAAAUGAAACAAGACCAAUUCACUUUGAAUUGAUAUCAUUGAUAACUUGUUAAUCCUUCCUAGUGAACGAUCCUAGAGCCACUAUACUAUAGUAGCUUUGUCUUUGCUACCCUAGUAUAUGGUGUAAUAGGUUAAAAAUUUUGUUGAUUACUCCCUCAUCCAAGGAGCACCAGCUGGACGUGAAUCAGUUGAGACACCAUCUGGGCAUGAAUCAGUGGGAGUCUCAUUUACUUGUAGGCAGACAAUUUUAAGAGGUCAGUUGAGUUGCUCAGAUCGAUUAGAACUCUUCUUACAUUAAACACGCUUAUUCCUAGGGUCAAGAUCAGGGCGUCUUCGUGUGGCUGUAAUACCCGGUUAGCAUUGACUGGGGGAAGGUAAUUAUGCCAUCAAUGGGGUGCGUACUCCCAUCUGCCAAGUUAUGUUGAAUGAAACUGAUCCAUUCCCUUACAAAUAUUGCACGGAGCAGCCUUUGCCUUUUCUGCUUGGAGUUUUAUUUUUUGUCAAUGGGGCCACCAUGAAUGUAGCUGAUAACAACCUUGGGAGUUGUUGAAGUUGUGGGGGAUUGGUUGACCAAAUCUCAAGCCAGUUCCUUUUGCCCACCAGCCGUGCAGACAUAUUGCUUCAAGUGCCCAACCUUGAUUAAUCUUUCCACUAGGUAGUGGAGAUUUCUACAUUGCUUCAUGGUAUGGCCAUGAUCUUUGUGAUAGGCACACCUACGGUUCCGAUCCCAUUUAGCCAAAUCUGUUUUGAUCGGCUUUGGCCACCUGAAAUCAAACAGAUCGCGGAUCAUUUGGAUGAUUUUUUCGUAUGAGAUACUGAGAGGGGUUAGGCUAACCUGACUCGGUUGCUGCUGGUCGUCCCGCCUCUUACUAGCUUGCCUCAAUUGGUUUGAAGGCUUCUAGCUUCCUGCAUGGUCGUUUCUUGUCGGACGAUUAGCGACCAGGACUUGCUGAGUGGCCGCGUUGACGUCGUCUUCGAGCCUUAAGUACUUUUUGGCUCGCCUGAACAAAUCGUCCAUUGUCGGUGGUGGUUUUUUUGUGAGAGAUUCGAAAAACGGCAUACCCGAAAAUAUGCUUCUCUUAAAGAUCUAUAGGAUAGAGUAUAUGCUACAAGGCUCCACUUGGAGCACAACUUGUCCAAACCAUUUCAUGAAGUCUCUUAAGGAUUCGUUUUCCUGCAUCUUAAUGUUCUGUAGGGUGUUUAUGUUCUGCUUGUGGCAAGUUGAACAUAAGUAGUGUCCCACAAAGGCUUUCGAUAGAUCCCAAAAAUUGUCCAUGAAGCCCUUCGAAAGGCAAUGGAACCAUGAAAAAGCCUAGUCGUGCAGACUCGUUGAAAAGACUUUACAUAACAGUGCAUCAUUCCUUAUGUCCAGGGUCAUGAGUUGCCUGUAGUACAUAAUAUGAUCGAACAAAUCGCUCAUUUCGUCGUACGUCAUAAAUUUUGGUACCAUGAACUUCCUUGAGGGUUCAUAGUUAAUGAUAUGAAGGCCAAACGACGUGCAGAGCAUGUCAUCUAGUCAUCGGGUGACGGAGCCAGGUGGAGCUCGGUUCACUGAAGUCUUCGCUUGCCACUAUUUGGGCGGAUGGGAGGGUCAUUCUAACAUGAUUGUUGUGGCCGAGGGACCCAAACAGGCCUCCAGAGUUUCUACUACGUAAGGUUUUCCUCCUAUGCUAGGUGACCAGGGUCCCAACUAGGCCUGUAUUGCGUGAGAUAGACAUGACCUCCUAUCACGCCUUCUUUUUGUUGAGACCUAGGUGGAGUCAAAACUCUCUUCCAACUACACCGAGCGGGUUGGUGGAAGCUUCUCUUUUGAUUAUAUCUCAUGACUGCUAGAGGAAGACUCUAUGUUCCUGGGAAAAUACGCAUCGUCAUUUUGUAUAGAGGUUGCUCACAGGCUCUUAGGCUGUCGCUUAUGAGAAGGGCUUGAUGACGAUACUUGGGCACACAACUUGUCAUUCUCUUCCUUAAGUCUCCUAGUCUCGUGAAGUAGGGAUUGUACAUGUUGCUCACUCUCUCGUUGGCGUCUUUCCAUGCUUUCACGCCAGUCAAAGUAGUCCUCACUACCCAUAGCUGACGAUCAACUUCUAAAGGGUGUUGACAUCCUUAAACGUUCCCACAGACGACACCAAUGUUAGUUUCCAUCCAACUGGAGUCAGAUCCAUUUAAGUUAACAAGGAUUAGACAGUCUUCCUCUUUACGUUGUGCCUUUUAGAGCUCCUACCCAGCAAUGAGGAGAUUGGUGAGCUUCUUUCCUACACAAAGGAUCUCCAGACAGGUGGUCCGAGCACGCCCCUUCAAAGCUAAAGUUAGACAAAAAUAAACUAGGCUCCUCAAAGGAGGGAGUGAGUAGGUCAGCUUAUGCGUGCCUACCUUGUUUGUGCCUUAAGAGGAUUUUUAUAGUGCUGAAGAGAAAACCACUGUAAUGCUGACUAAACACUUUGACCUUCUCUGUAAUAAUGAUUGUCUUGCGGGUGGCAAGACAAUCAUUACAGCUUUGGGCGACUAGUAGGUACCGUCAAAUGAUAUGCCAUGAUGUUUGACCGUGCAACCGUUUGUCCCUUCAACUUGCUAGUGGUAUAAGGUUGUGAGUGGUAAUUAGUUGACAUGGACUUGAGGAUUAGGGGAGAUCCCAUCAGCCAUUCCCAUGUCAGAUGUGAAUGAUUACACAUAACAGUGGGCCUUAAAGGCUUAAUUGGGUGGUUUCGUCUGUUUAGGGAGUCCAGUCUUAUUUGUCGCUUGUCCUCAUAGGGGAAGGGCCCCUUCUUGUCUGUGACCAGAUGAAUUGGACAUGGUUCGGAUGGAAGAAUCUGAACACUACUUGUCCCGUUAUCCGAAUAGUGCUGGGGUUGGAAACUAACGUGGAAUGACAUGUGGAGGGGAGCCCCCACAAAUGGUUACUAACUUCUAUUUCCUUAUUGCUUUUCAUGAGGAAAUGCCACCAACUAUAUGGAAUGAGGAUCACUACUACAAAUGGAGUGCAAAUAUUGGGGAUAUUCACUUACAAAAGAGAUCUUUGUUUUGAAAGGAAAGAGAUUCAAAUGGGAAGGACUUUGGGGGAAGAGACGAAUCCAAUUGCAUGGGAUUCAUGGAGACCACCAGAUUUCCUUAAAAAAGGAAGGUUCACACUACGGGAGGCUUCCGUCCGCCUAGGGCACGAAUCACAAGCAGUCUAGUAUAAAGACCAAUCACCAUCUCGCCCAUGGGCAUAAGACCACCAAAUUCGUGCACUCACGAGAUCUAGACAGACAAAACCAACCGAGCAUUAUUCAACUUCGCCUGGAAUGCAUCGAUUGUAACAAACAUUAAAUGUCUUGAUUGACAUGACUACUAUGAAACCAAAACACCAUACUUUAAGGCUCAUCAAGGCAAAACAACUAUUAUGAGCCAACAAUUAUUAGCAUUAACGGUGGAAAUGCGCAAUCAAAGGCAUAAUAAAGACGCUUGAGAAGACAUUACAUUGGAAAAAAGAUAAAACAUCAUUCUGGGACAUAGGAGAGGUAUGUUGCCACUUUUCCAAGAAUCUUUUGCGCAAGUCUUUUCUCUUUGACUUAUUGAUCUUUUGAUAUAUGCGUUUUUUUAGUUUUAAAGAAUCAUUGAUGAUCAUAUAUUAAAGUUUGAAUGAAAAUUAUUGAUGAUUGGUGUUAAAUAUUGUUUGAUACAUGAUUGAAAUUAUCUUUAGGAUCAAUUUGGAGAAUCUCUAUAUAUGAAAUUUUCUAAAAAUUGUUUUUUAUUACCAUUGUUGAUAGUUCACUUCACCUUUGAACUUGUAAAUUGAAAUCCGACCAUUCAAAAACUUUUUAAAAUUUUUCUAAUUAUUUUGUAGUAUUGUAGACUUCUUGAAUUUGAUUUUAGAAUUUUUUUUUUAGUGAAAAAUAAUUUUUCCAAUUAAAAGAUAUAAAUCAAUCUUUCAAAAGGUUUAGUUGUCACUCUGUUUUAGACACUCAAUCUUGUUUCUUAAAAUUAAAUUAUUAAAUGACCUCUUUAGUUUCUUUGGACAUUUUUCACUUAAUUUAUACUUCUUAAAUUCAAUUUUUUACAUAUAAAAUAUUAAGAAAUAAUUAUUGAAAUGAGAGAUAUGAUUUUUUUUUCUUCUUGCACCUAUUGCACAGGUGCUCUUCUAGAGCUGCGAGAUGUUAAUUUAAUUUUAAAUAUAUUAUGCAUAUGAUCUUGUCCUAUGAUUAUUUUUCAUAUAAAGUAGACAUAUUAAUGAGUUGUGUGAAUUUUUGUAGAAUUUUUAAGACAUCUCUAAGUUAAUUAAAAAAUUAAUUCUCUCAUGCUAUGGAAAAUUACUUUGUUCUGGACAUCUCUUAUGAAAUCUGGUAGUAAAUGGGAUCUAAUUAAUUAAUUUGGCCACUUGGAUGAUAAACUAGACAUAUAGGAGAUAUUCCCUGAAAAUUUUCAUGAUGAAAUUCUACUUAUAGAUAUUAUGCAUUUGAAUUUAUGUUUGAUUGUCUUAUGAAAGCACUUGUAGCUAAUUAAGGUACAAAUUUAGUGAGAAAGUCUUCUUUCUAUUAGACCACUUCAAAUAGACAAACUAUGCACCUCUCUUUUAUCAUCACAUGUAAAUGACCUUAAAGGAUGUGAAGAUCACUCUUAUAACUACCACCACUACUUACGUGGAGAGACAAAGGAUUAGCUCCUCAUUAACCAUUUCUUAGAGGCUAGGGCAAAUGAAACAUACCACUAAAGUAAAAUAAAAUAAAUAAAUUUAAAAUAAAUGUGUAAAAUGAAACACCUAAAAAAGAUAAAAUAAAAUAAAUUUAAAACACAUACCAACCCGUUUCACAAAAAUUAGAACUCGCAAACAAUUGUUAAACAUAUAUUAUUAUUAGAUCCUUGACAUGAUCGAUACGCUUCCGAGGAGAGCUGCCUUGUCCAUCAACAGUAAAGAAAUAUUGAUCCUUUUCAAAUUCUAACAAAGAAUGUAUGUAGGAUGUAUAACAUUUUUAAGGACUAGGCAUAACCAACCAAACUUUUUUCGCUACUGAUUCUCAAGAUAUUACCUAAAAACAUGCAUAGACAAAAAAAUUCCAGACAUGAGCUAAAUCAAUUAAUCAAGAAAAAAUGGAUGAUUGAAAGAGAAAAUGAUGCAGUCCCUUUUCAGACUUGAUCAGUAACCUUCAUGUGGUUGAGCAAGUGACAAUGGUGUCGGCAUGGAUAUUGAAGACUUUGGGCUUUGUAACUUUUAGCAAAAGUUUAAAUAUAAUACGCAAGGUUACGAAGGAGAUAGAAAAAAGACUAAAGACUUAUGUACAUGAAAUGGUAUUGAUCUUCAAUCUCAUCUCAAAAUAGAAUGAGAUAGAUUCAAAUAUAGGACCUGUUCUUUGCGGAGUCAGGAAGCAUAAUAUAAUGAAUGAUAGGAGUUUCAGAUUUUGACAUUCGUCACUGAGCCAACACCAUUCAUAAGUAGGUCUGUUUUAUUAUUGAAAAGAAACAUGAGGCAAAGCAUAGGCACCAGUACAAAAAAGGCUUAUGAGCAUAACACUUGAUGUAGAUGCUAUAAAAAAUGUGAUGGUGGCAGCAAUUAGCUUCCCAGCUUCAGGCUUUGCCAGGAAAAGUUGAGAUGCUAUCAACUUCAUAUGUUAAAAAAUUCAACAAAUAAUUAUAAAAACAAGUCCUCUCUCACCAAGGAAAAUACUCUGAAAAAUUCCACUUUUGCUGCCUUUAUCGGCCAAAAAUAAAAUCAAGCUGACAAGAGUUAAAUAGAAACAUGGAUUCAAACAACACAAGUGAAAAUUACCUGGCAUGCAUCUCCAUGCUCAUGGUCAUCAUUUGGCUUUUUCCAUACCUAGAGUGAUUAAAGUGAAUCAAUUGUCAGUUUAAGAUAAACUUGAAGCAAAAUGGAAAUUGAAUGAGAUCGAGUGCAUUUUCAAACCAAGACAAAAAUAUGCAGCCCAAGGGCUUCACACGGAUCCCCUGUAGUUAUUAUUAUUAUUAUGGGACCCAUGUAUAUGCACUACAGAAAAGGCUUCCAUUAUUA